UCAAGGUCACCUGUGCAAAGAACAAGCUGUACACGCAAUUCGUGAAAGCACCCGUAUCCGACUGGGCUCGGGACAACGUCAUGCUCAGGAAAGUGCAUGAUUCUUUCACGACCAUUGGCGAUGCUUCCCCUGUACAGUAGACCUAACCUGGUGUCUGCACUGUGGGGAUGGAGCUGUAUUUCUAAUGUAUUCAGUACCGCCCGGGCACGAGUUCAGAGCACGCGGAGCCUAUUUGAGCCUUUUAGUUGGAGAGUAGAGAGGAGCGGGGAGCUGUAUAGGGAGAUGAAGACACUCUAAUAGUCUCUCAAGAUCAAUAUUGAUAUGUAGCAUCAUUGUUGUUACCUUGUAAGUACAGAAAGCAGAAGCAUUAUGCCGGCUCGUGUUCUUCAAAGCUCUUCAACGUAUCCUAGAGAAUCCUGCCUGCUAAGUAUGCUUUGGCUGAUAUCGCGUGGCUGAUACCGCCUCUGCAAUGCUCUGCACUUUAGGACCAUCACCUGGUGUCACAAGUAAGUGGCGAUUGUUUCAGGAAAGUCAAUGAUGGCCUGUUAUUCUACCAAUCCUCUGUUUUUUCUGUGGUUAUGACGUAGUUCGAGGCAUGUAUAGCCUAGUUGAGGUGACGAGGCCAGCGUAAACAGUGCUGUUC
This 643-nucleotide long non-coding RNA is filed under the name Physcomitrium patens. RNAcentral describes it as "long non-coding RNA (PPAT_LNC002807)". The record is from RNAcentral. Lineage: Eukaryota; Viridiplantae; Streptophyta; Bryopsida; Funariales; Funariaceae.